This 301-nucleotide ribosomal RNA is filed under the name uncultured bacterium. RNAcentral describes it as "partial 16S ribosomal RNA". It matches the Rfam family "Bacterial small subunit ribosomal RNA", at positions 509 to 807 of the family's 1533-position model. The record is from RNAcentral.
CAGCCGCCACGGUAAUACGAAGUGGGCUAGCGUUGCUCGGAAUGACUGGGCGUAAAGGGCGCGUAGGCGGCGGCCAAAGUCAGGCGUGAAAUUCCCGGGCUCAACCUGGGGGCUGCGUUUGAUACUUGGUUGCUUGAGUGGGGAAGAGGGUCGUGGAAUUCCCAGUGUAGAGGUGAAAUUCGUAGAUAUUCGCAAGAACACCAGUGGCGAAGGCGGCUCACUGGCUCGAAACUGACGCUGAGGCACGAAAGCGUGGGGAGCAAACAGGAUUAGAUACCCCUGUAGUCCCUGUCUCUUAUAC